Long non-coding RNA from Oncorhynchus tshawytscha (Chinook salmon), 2406 nucleotides. NCBI's taxonomy places the organism in Eukaryota, Metazoa, Chordata, Actinopteri, Salmoniformes, Salmonidae. The record is from Ensembl.
CUGUGUGUGUGUCUUUCUCCACAUGCAGUAUGCCUGGGGAGAAGCCUUGUGGUCAAAGUGCCUGCUUUAACCCAAUAACAGAACGUUGCUGUGUGAACCCUACAUCUCUCCAGGGACAAAGUUACUCACAUGACCAGACCUGCUGUGAUGGAACACUCAGCCAUACUCCAGGUCAGCUGACUCCGCAUGUGAGCCAGCUGGUGUCAGAUUGCUGUGGCUCUAGGGCCUGUGAUCCACUCAACCAGUGUGACUUACAGAUUCUAACCAGGACCCAACCCCAUUCCAAGUGUUGUGGAAAAGAGCUUUACAAUAAAGACCACCAGCUCUGCUGUGGACAUGUCGAUAAAGGAAGGAAGGUCCUGACCAAAAUGUCCCGUCACCACCUGUGCUGUGGAGACCAACAGUUUGAUCCGCGAAGCCACUGCUGCUGCCAACACAUCACUGAACCAUUAAACCCUCAGCCUCUCAAUGCAAGCUGCUGUGCCAUCCAGGAAUUGCGACGUACUCCCCCAGCGCAAACUGUUCAGAACAAAACAAUUGCUCAGAGUUCUCCAAACUGUAUGCCUGGGGAGAAGCCUUGUGGUCAAAGUGCCUGCUUUAACCCAAUAACAGAACGUUGCUGUGUGAACCCUACAUCUCUCCAGGGACAAAGUUACUCACAUGACCAGACCUGCUGUGAUGGAACACUCAGCCAUACUCCAGGUCACUACCAUAGUGCUAGCUGUGGCUCUAAGGUGUACAAUCCAGACAUCAAAACUUGCUGUUGCGGGAAGGUGUCCAAUAAGGUGCUUGGAGUAAACCUGUGCUGCGGUACAACUCCGUAUGGUGUAGAGGACCGAGGGGUGCUGUGCUGUAACCAGACCUUGCACCAUGUGGUGGAGGAUGGGUACCAGUGCUCCCCAGGUGGCCACUUGUAUCUGCCAUCCCGUGAGAUGGUGUGUGGCUCACGAGUUCAUCUGAACGAUCCAGGCAAACACUGCUGUGGGGAGGAGACAUACUACCCUCGGAAUGAAAUCUGCUGCAACGGACGCAAACACCACAGGUUGAGAAAUGUUUCCUGCUGCGGAGGGAAGGCCUACGACCCCAGCAGUGGACAGAUGAAGUGCUGUGCAGGGACUCUGUACAACCUGCAGGUUCAGGACAGGCUCCCAGGUGAGGCCCAGUGCUGUGGGAGUGUCCUGAUGGAGGCCGGCUCCACCCAGACCUGCUGUUCUGCCCAAGGGCUAGACCUGCUCUACCCUACCCAGCCAGGGUUCACCUGCUGUGGGCACCGCUAUCCCAAUGCCUCCCUGUGGUCUUGCUGCGCCGGGGUCCUGCACCCAAGGCCUGAACCACACAACACCACCAAUAACGUGAUUCCAGGACCCAGACUUCUACCACUGGGGGAUCUGAAGACUGAAGUCCUGUGUCACAGCAGAAUUCUGGUAGGGACAGUGGAGAGUGUGUCCAUGAAGAUCAAUAAGCGGUCCAUCGUGAUGGUGAACGCCAUGUACAUGCUGGCCUCGCGUGGCCAUGUCAGCGCCGUGCCUUCCCCUCACUACGUCACAUUACCCGACCACUGCAGCUUCCCUGAACUGGUGCCGGGCAACACUUACAUCUGGGUGAAAAAUAAUUUCUCAGGCACCAUAAGAUUCAUCUCUGAUCUCAGCGACGAUUCCUUCCCUCUCCAUUCCAUCCUUACCAUGUGCUGAACCUUUUUCUUGCCCAGAGUAAAGCUCUACAUAAUGUUUGAAAGCUUUACAGUGUUUGUUUGCAAGUACAUUGUUAACAAUCAACGGUGUAAUAAAAAGCUCAUCUUGGGUUCAGAUGGGGUUCGACAAGUAGACAAUGUGUGUGAAGUGAAUAUCACAUUGUGCAGGAAAAAAAGCCUAUUUUAACCAAGCAUUUGUGUGUAGGUGUAUGACUUCACCAUGCAUCAAUUCAGGUGGUUUUGUGGGGGGUGGUUGCCUUUUUCCCAUCAUCAUACACGUACCACAUUAUCUGAUACUUGAUCACAGGAUCACAUUUUUGUUUGAUUAUUUCACUGCCAUACUGUGUUUGAUCUUGUCUAGCCAACUUGUCUCAAGUCCCAGACUUUAUUGUGUGUCAUCCUCAAUGUUUUUAUUCAUUUUAUUCAGAUGUUAUGAAUUUUGUCUUGUUGCUUUUUGUUCUGUUGCUCUGCGUGUGCUGAAACAUUGAUUAAUGUGCACUGUCCCUGUAAAAAAAAAAAAAAAAUUAAACUUAAUGUGCAUGCAUGGCUUUUAAGUUAUGUGUGCUUGUCUUUUUAAAUGGUCGAAUUAUUAAACUAAACUAAAGAAUGUUGUUUAAGAUUAAAGGAUCAACGGGAAUUGGAAGGUUGUUACAUGCUCGCCCACUCCUACAACUUGCCUCUGAGACUUGAAUGAAGCAAUGCAUAAACAUCCUAGG